GCACCUGUAGCUCAGUGGAUUAGAGCAUUUCGCUUCGGACGAAAGGGUCGGGGGUUCGAGUCCCUCCAGGUGCG
RNAcentral lists this transfer RNA (74 nucleotides) under Patescibacteria group bacterium. Its description in RNAcentral is "tRNA-Arg". It matches the Rfam family "tRNA". Rfam says of the family: Transfer RNA (tRNA) molecules are approximately 80 nucleotides in length. The record is from RNAcentral.